Molecule: transfer RNA, 66 nt
Filed under: Parevania sp. SJW-2015
Lineage: Eukaryota; Metazoa; Arthropoda; Insecta; Hymenoptera; Evaniidae
Description: tRNA-Asp
Source: RNAcentral
AAAAAUUUAGUUAAAAAAUAACAUUAAACUGUCAGUUUAAAAAUAUACUAUAUUGUGUAAUUUUUA